UACGAAGGGGGCUAGCGUUGUUCGGAAUUACUGGGCGUAAAGCGCGCGCAGGCGGUUCUCCAAGUCAGUGGUGAAAGCCCGGAGCUCAACUCCGGAACUGCCAUUGAAACUGUUGAACUUGAGGACGAGAGAGGUGAGUGGAAUUCCCAGUGUAGAGGUGAAAUUCGUAGAUAUUGGGAAGAACACCGGUGGCGAAGGCGGCUCACUGGCUCGUAUCUGACGCUCAGGCGCGAUAGCGUGGGGAGCAAACAGG
Molecule: ribosomal RNA, 253 nt
Filed under: uncultured bacterium
Lineage: Bacteria
Description: partial 16S ribosomal RNA
Rfam family: Bacterial small subunit ribosomal RNA
Source: RNAcentral